GGGGAUUUGGCUCAGCAGCAUGAGCGCCUGCCUUGCAGGCAGGCAGUCAUGAGUUCAAUCCCUG
Molecule: transfer RNA, 64 nt
Filed under: Cavia porcellus (domestic guinea pig)
Lineage: Eukaryota; Metazoa; Chordata; Mammalia; Rodentia; Caviidae
Rfam family: tRNA
About the family: Transfer RNA (tRNA) molecules are approximately 80 nucleotides in length. Their secondary structure includes four short double-helical elements and three loops (D, anti-codon, and T loops). Further hydrogen bonds mediate the characteristic L-shaped molecular structure. tRNAs have two regions of fundamental functional importance: the anti-codon, which is responsible for specific mRNA codon recognition, and the 3' end, to which the tRNAs corresponding amino acid is attached (by aminoacyl-tRNA synthetases). tRNAs cope with the degeneracy of the genetic code in two manners: having more than one tRNA (with a specific anti-codon) for a particular amino acid; and 'wobble' base-pairing, i.e. permitting non-standard base-pairing at the 3rd anti-codon position.
Source: Rfam by way of RNAcentral